AACGAACGCUGGCGGCAUGCCUAACACGUGCAAGUCGAACGAGACCUUCGGGUCUAGUGGCGCACGGGUGCGUAACGCGUGGGAACCUGCCCUUAGGUUCGGAAUAACUCCCCGAAAGGGGUGCUAAUACCGGAUAAUGUCUUCGGACCAAAGAUUUAUCGCCUUUGGAUGGGCCCGCGUUGGAUUAGCUAGUUGGUAGGGUAAAAGCCUACCAAGGCGACGAUCCAUAGCUGGUCUGAGAGGAUGAUCAGCCACACUGGGACUGAGACACGGCCCAGACUCCUACGGGAGGCAGCAGUGGGGAAUAUUGGGCAAUGGGCGAAAGCCUGAUCCAGCAAUGCCGCGUGAGUGAUGAAGGCCUUAGGGUUGUAAAGCUCUUUUACCCGGGAUGAUAAUGACAGUACCGGGAGAAUAAGCUCCGGCUAACUCCGUG
RNAcentral lists this ribosomal RNA (433 nucleotides) under uncultured bacterium. RNAcentral's name for it is "partial 16S ribosomal RNA". It matches the Rfam family "Bacterial small subunit ribosomal RNA", at positions 29 to 507 of the family's 1533-position model. The record is from RNAcentral.